Molecule: ribosomal RNA, 497 nt
Filed under: uncultured bacterium
Lineage: Bacteria
Description: partial 16S ribosomal RNA
Rfam family: Bacterial small subunit ribosomal RNA
Source: RNAcentral
GAUGAACGCUGGCGGCGUGCCUAAUACAUGCAAGUCGAGCGAACAGACGAGGAGCUUGCUCCUCUGACGUUAGCGGCGGACGGGUGAGUAACACGUGGAUAACCUACCUAUAAGACUGGGAUAACUUCGGGAAACCGGAGCUAAUACCGGAUAAUAUAUUGAACCGCAUGGUUCAAUAGUGAAAGACGGUUUUGCUGUCACUUAUAGAUGGAUCCGCGCCGCAUUAGCCUGUUGGUAAGGUAACGGCUUAGCAAGGCAACGAUGCGUAACCGACCUGAGAGAGUGAUCGACGACGUUCGAAAUGCAACACGCUCCAGACUCCUACGAGGGGCAGCAGUAGGGAAUCUUCCGCAAUGAGCGAAAGACUGACGGGACGACGCCGCGGCAGGGAUGAAGGUCUUCGGAUCGUAAAACUCUGUUAUUAGGUAAGAACAAAUAUGUAAUUAACUAUGCACGUCUUGAGGUUACCUAAUCAGAAAGCCACGGCUAGCUACGUG